GAUGAACGCUGGCGGCGUGCCUAAUACAUGCAAGUCGAGCGAACAGAUAAGGAGCUUGCUCCUUUGACGUUAGCGGCGGACGGGUGAGUAACACGUGGGUAACCUACCUAUAAGACUGGGAUAACUUCGGGAAACCGGAGCUAAUACCGGAUAACAUUUGGAACCGCAUGGUUCUAAAGUGAAAGAUGGUUUUGCUAUCACUUAUAGAUGGACCCGCGCCGUAUUAGCUAGUUGGUAAGGUAACGGCUUACCAAGGCGACGAUACGUAGCCGACCUGAGAGGGUGAUCGGCCACACUGGAACUGAGACACGGUCCAGACUCCUACGGGAGGCAGCAGUAGGGAAUCUUCCGCAAUGGGCGAAAUCCUGACGGAGCAACGCCGCGUGAGUGAUGAAGGGUUUCGGCUCGUAAAACUCUGUUAUUAGGGAAGAACAAAUGUGUAAGUAACUGUGCACGUCUUGACGGUACCUAAUCAGAAAGCCACGGCUAACUACGUG
RNAcentral lists this ribosomal RNA (497 nucleotides) under uncultured bacterium. Its description in RNAcentral is "partial 16S ribosomal RNA". It matches the Rfam family "Bacterial small subunit ribosomal RNA", at positions 28 to 507 of the family's 1533-position model. The record is from RNAcentral.